UACGUAGGGUGCAAGCGUUGUCCGGAAUUACUGGGCGUAAAGGGCGCGUAGGCGGUCCUUCAAGUCAGGCGUGAAAGCCCCGGGCUCAACCUGGGAACCGCGCUUGAGACUGGCGGACUCGAGUUCGGGAGAGGAUGGUGGAAUUCCCAGUGUAGAGGUGAAAUUCGUAGAUAUUGGGAAGAACACCGAUGGCGAAGGCAGCCAUCUGGACCGACACUGACGCUGAGGCGCGAAAGCGUGGGGAGCAAACAGG
RNAcentral lists this ribosomal RNA (253 nucleotides) under uncultured bacterium. RNAcentral describes it as "partial 16S ribosomal RNA". It matches the Rfam family "Bacterial small subunit ribosomal RNA", at positions 524 to 776 of the family's 1533-position model. The record is from RNAcentral.